UUAAAAGUAUAAGUAUAUCCCAUGCAAUAUUUAGGGCAUACUUAUACUAUAA
Molecule: microRNA precursor, 52 nt
Filed under: Pteropus alecto (black flying fox)
Lineage: Eukaryota; Metazoa; Chordata; Mammalia; Chiroptera; Pteropodidae
Also listed under: 1 other name
Description: mir-1302 microRNA precursor family
Rfam family: mir-1302 microRNA precursor family
Source: Rfam by way of RNAcentral